RNAcentral lists this ribosomal RNA (1886 nucleotides) under Aphaenogaster floridana. RNAcentral describes it as "eukaryotic LSU rRNA". It matches the Rfam family "Eukaryotic large subunit ribosomal RNA", at positions 1156 to 2313 of the family's 3401-position model. The record is from RNAcentral. Lineage: Eukaryota; Metazoa; Arthropoda; Insecta; Hymenoptera; Formicidae.
CUGUGGGAUGAACCAAACGCAGAGUUAAGGCGCCCAACUCGACGCUCAUGGGACACCAUGAAAGGCGUUGGUUGCUUAAGACAGCAGGACGGUGGCCAUGGAAGUCGGAAUCCGCUAAGGAGUGUGUAACAACUCACCUGCCGAAGCAACUAGCCCUGAAAAUGGAUGGCGCUGAAGCGUCGAGCCUAUACUCUGCCGUCAGCGGCAAGUGGGGCGGCCGUGGGCCGGGCGUUUAACGGCGCUCUCCCUACGCGCCGCCACGAAGCCCUGACGAGUAGGAGGGUCGCGGCGGUGUGCGCAGAAGGGUCUGGGCGCGAGCCUGCCUGGAGCCGCCGUCGGUGCAGAUCUUGGUGGUAGUAGCAAAUACUCCAGCGAGGCCCUGGAGGACUGACGUGGAGAAGGGUUUCGUGUGAACAGCCGUUGCACACGAGUCAGUCGAUCCUAAGCCCUAGGAGAAAUCCUAUGUCAAUGACGGCGUACGAUACUCGAGUGUCCGCGGCACACGGACUGCGAGCGAGCGAGCGUGCGCGCGCGCGAGCGCGCAUAGUAGUCCGCCGCCGCCGAGUCGCGCGCGCGAGUCGCGCCGACUCCGGCUUACGGCGGCGACGAAAUGCCGCGCCGCGCCGUGCACACAUAGCUCGCGAGCGAGCUAAGAGAUAGAGAGCGAGUGUGAGAGACACACGCCCGUCGGGCGAAAGGGAAUCCGGUUCCUAUUCCGGAACCCGGCAGCGGAACCGCAUACAAUUCGGGCCCUCGUAAGAGUGUUCGUCGGGGUAACCCAAAAUGACCUGGAGACGCCGUCGGGAGAUCCGGGAAGAGUUUUCUUUUCUGUAUAAGCGUUCGAGUUCCCUGGAAACCUCUAGCAGGGAGAUAGGGUUUGGAACGCGAAGAGCACCGCAGUUGCGGCGGUGUCCGGAUCUUCCCCUCGGACCUUGAAAAUCCAGGAGAGGGCCACGUGGAGGUGUCGCGCCGGUUCGUACCCAUAUCCGCAGCAGGUCUCCAAGGUAAAGAGCCUCUAGUCGAUAGACUAAUGUAGGUAAGGGAAGUCGGCAAAUUGGAUCCGUAACUUCGGAUAAACGAUUUGCUCUGAGGAGCGGGGCGUGUCGGGCUUGGUCGGGAAGCGGGUCUGGCUGACGUGCCGGGCCUGGGCGAGGUGAACGCCCGGUGUUCUCGCGCCGGUGCCGGGAUCCGAGCUCGGUCCCGUGCCUUGGCCUCCCGCGGAUCUUCCUUGCUGCGAGGCUUCCGUGUCGGCGCGAGCAGUCGUGGUCGUCCUCUUCGGCCGCCAUUCAACGCUCAGCUCAGAACUGGCACGGACUAGGGGAAUCCGACUGUCUAAUUAAAACAAAGCAUUGCGAUGGCCCUCGCGGGUGUUGACGCAAUGUGAUUUCUGCCCAGUGCUCUGAAUGUCAACGUGAAGAAAUUCAAGCAAGCGCGGGUAAACGGCGGGAGUAAUUAUGACUCUCUUAAGGCCUAGUGGGUAGUGGAAAAGUAAAACAUAAGCGUGGUUGCAUAAUAAUAGGUGUCCAACAAGUGGGUAGUGAAAAACAUAAGCGUGGUAGCAUAAUAAUAAGUGUCCAACAAGUGGGUAGUGGAAGAUACAGCCAAAGGUGUCAAUUAUGAGGAAUGGUGUUGAUGACGAGAGAUGGUGACGGAGUCCUGGCUACUCUUGACCGGUCCUCUCGGGCCCUUGAUACCCGCCUCGGCGGAUUCUUUGGGCCCAGGGUCGGCAUCGGCCUUCCUGAGAGUGACUCGCCACAGUCUGGAAUGAUCAAGCAUUAGUUCCGGGCUUAUUCCGGACUGUACCAUAGACCAAUGACCCAGUCGGGGCAGGUGUAGACUCGAAGUUGAUGAUUCCUCGGACUUACUCUGAGCCCAUAUUCUAGGCG